Molecule: long non-coding RNA, 308 nt
Filed under: Triticum aestivum (bread wheat)
Lineage: Eukaryota; Viridiplantae; Streptophyta; Magnoliopsida; Poales; Poaceae
Description: long non-coding RNA (TAES_LNC018075)
Source: RNAcentral
AUGAAGCUCUUGUUAAUUAUGAAAACAUUACUGAUGGCGCAAAAACUUAUGAACCAGAGACCAUCGCAUCAGAAAGAAACUCAAGCUAGCAGAACAAGAUUUUGAUAAAUUCAUUCAAGACUCUGAUAAAGUUUGGGUGAAGGCUACAACAAUCAGUAGCCUCCUUACACAAAGACGGCAACCAAAAUCACCACACAUGCUUGCUUUUUAUUAAGCGCCCACGAGGUCACACACUGACACACACGAACUAAACUCAAUUCAUCCCUAAUAAUAAAAGUGCAGCUAAACUCCCCUAAGAUUCAGACCCG